AUCAGCAAGCUCAACGACGACUGAAAAAGAAUAAAGUUAGGCGACAGCUUUUUAUUCCUAGAUUUGCAAUGCAUAAACGCAGUCGGGGAGUCCUGUGGUGGAGAUGCAACUCAUCUGGUAAAUACAAGGCAACUUUGGUCAGAGCAAGGUCAAGGUUCCUAACCCAAAAGGAAAGGAAGACACGUCAAAAGAAGCGGGGGAACAAAAAGAAAAGAAAAGUGACAUCGGUUUGCUUAAACAGAACUGUAGUAACUGGACAACGGCCAAGUCGUAAAGCAUCGCACAGGUCAGUAAAAGAUCAGUUCUCUGACUGUCUUGAGAGCAAUGCCACCUGUUCUGUUAACCGAACUCAGGAACUUGUGGAUGCACACAAAGAGCAGAAUCUCAGUUCCAAAGCCUGGAGUCCUGAAACUCUAAAAGAGUGCCGGGUGUUUCUGAGAAAGAUCAACUCUCCGGAUAGCGAGUCAGCUGAGGAGUGGGACUCCUGUACUGUGACACUGGAUGAUGGGUCACCUUCUGCAUACCUCUUUGCUGGGAAGGAGAGAGAACUGGUACAAGUUGUUGAAGCUGUGAAAAGUGAAAGAAAAAGGAGCACAAGUAACACAAGGCAGCAGACGGAUUCUGUAGUGAAAUCAGUGCAGAAGCAGGAUGCGGUGCCAGCGGGGAGGCAGAGGUGUAAAAGAAGCCCUGGGGUUGUAUCUACUGAACUACCACAACCACCACCAGCGAAAAAGUUGAGACAAUCGCGAAUGAGGGGCCUGACAGGACCGAGAUGGUGCGACUUUGUGUUUGAAAACUAAAUUAAGCACGAGGCCUCCUCCCUGGGAAAGGGACUGUGGUUGAACGCGGUGCCUUCAGACGUUGAGCUGACCACUUGGACUGACCAUCCCGCUUAGGGUCAGUCUUACACUCAGCAGUCAUGUAGCAGUCUAACUUAAAAGCUUGAUGUUGCACUAUUUUUAUCCGUUGAUACAUAUUUACUUUUUUUUUUCUUGGUCAACUUGCCUUUGUCUUUCUGUAGGAGUAGAACUCAUUUCAUCAAGGAGAGUUUUAAUGGGAGAAGUGCUUGUAAAGUGAGCUCUGUAAGAGUAGCUGUAAGGAAGGACGGCGCUCUCCUGCAUUAUCACAGUGCCACCUGAAUACACCCCCCACCUAUGAAGUUCAACUAAGCUUAAAGAAAAUCUUAAUCUAAAUUUGGUUGUUUUUCUACUUUAAGGCACUCCUGCUUAAAACCUACAAAAUUUGUCCAUUUUUAUUUAUUAAAAAUCUUACUUUAGCGCAUUUGAAAUUCUGAAUAAUUGAAUAAUUUGGUUUAAUAUUAUAGGUUAGUUAAAAUAAUACUAAAAUUUUUAAACAGUUUUAAUCUGAGCCUUUUUUGUUUUUGUUUUUGGCAACCCAGUACAUAUCUAGUAAUGAAGGAUUUUUUUUUAAGGCCAUCUUAACUCCUGUGUGUGCGCGUGUGUGUGUGUGUUUGGGCUCCAACUAUAUACUUACAUGUACUUCAGUAAUUGGCCAUAGUCCCCUACUACAGCUAAAUAUUUUGAGUAAUUUUCUUUUAACAUAUUUUACAUUUGCAAAUCUUGGUUCCAAAUGCUGAUCCCAAUGGUUACAUAUUCACGUCCACAAAACACAGGUGGUGUGUGUGUGUGUGAAUAAAGAAAGUGGCAUUAUGCAGUUGUAGAAGGAAAAUUAAGCUUUAUUUGUUGGUUGGUGGGAUCUGUCUGAUUUUUGCUCAACUAUCUGUAUGCAUCUCAUUUACCCACAGCAUUUACUGUAUGUCGCUGCCAGAUGUACCUCUUGCACUAUUCCAUUUGAGAUUAUUAAUCCCACUACACAGUUUACUCCUAUAUUUUGCACAUCCUGUGUCCCACUACCAACCCCUACUGUAAAUCUAGAAUCUCUUUGGUGCAAUACAAACCCAGAUGAUUUAUCAUAAUGUAGAAAUUAUUUUAUUGUUGACAGACGAAUGGAUGUACACGAGAAUCAGUGACCAGGUGUGUUAACUUCAUCUGUUUCCACAGCCAUGUUGUGAUGUUCUGAGAUUUAAACCCAUUAAGACCGAAGGCGCCUUGUAGGCUCAGGCAUAACGUUGGUUAGAGGGUACUACCGGUUUUCUCACCUGCUUUUUUUUUUCUCCUUAAAGAAGCAAAAAAAUAAGUCAUAGCAUUUAUAAAAAAAAGAGAGAUCAUAUUAGCAUUAUUUAGUUUAAAUAAAGGUAGAUUGUGUGUUAGUUUCCUUGGAGUGUUUUUUUUUUCCUUUCUUUGUUGUCUCUCCCUUUAAGUUGCAGCAGAAGAUGCCUACCUCCACUGGGACUCUGCUAAGUCUACUGCUCCUUUGCUUAUCAGCUGUGUCACAAACAAGGCCAGAGUUUUUUAAGAAACACUAAUUUGGAUUAUUAUGUUUUCCUGCCAUGUAUUAGACACCUGGUAGAUCCAAAAUAUCUGUGUUUAGGUCAGAAAUGUACCCCGUAGAAAGUUUCUGCCUGACUACCCUUGUAUAUAUGUAUGUCACUAUGGUUGCCAUGUAAACAUAAAUAAGUUGGAGAGGUUCAGUCAUGUCAGAAAUAACCAUCGGCCCUUUGUUUUUUGAAGAACCUGGUGCUAAAAAUCUGUUGUAUAUUUUCUUUAUCAUGUUUUUAUACCGUUCAUUACAGAUGCAACAGAAGUGUGACUGGAUCAAUAAAGUCUUUUCAAGUAAA
Molecule: long non-coding RNA, 2698 nt
Organism: Melanotaenia boesemani (Boeseman's rainbowfish)
Lineage: Eukaryota; Metazoa; Chordata; Actinopteri; Atheriniformes; Melanotaeniidae
Exons: 2
Source: RefSeq, a predicted model, not a curated record